UGGGGAAUAUUGGGCAAUGGGCGCAAGCCUGAUCCAGCAACGCCGCGUGAAGGAUGAAGUAUUUCGGUAUGUAAACUUCGAAAGAAUAGGAAGAAUAAAUGACGGUACUAUUUAUAAGGUCCGGCUAACUACGUGCCAGCAGCCGCGGUAAUACGUAGGGACCAAGCGUUGUUCGGAUUUACUGGGCGUAAAGGGCGCGUAGGCGGCAAUUCAAGUCAUCUGUGAAAUCUCCGGGCUUAACUCGGAACGGUCAGAUGAUACUGCUUUGCUAGAGUGCAGAAGGGGCAAUCGGAAUUCUUGGUGUAGCGGUGAAAUGCGUAGAUAUCAAGAGGAACACCUGAGGUGAAGACGGGUUGCUGGGCUGACACUGACGCUGAGGCGCGAAAGCCAGGGGAGCAAACGGGAUUAGAUACCCCCGUAGUCCCUGAGCGGGCUGGCAAGGCGCAU
RNAcentral lists this ribosomal RNA (447 nucleotides) under uncultured bacterium. Its description in RNAcentral is "bacterial SSU rRNA". It matches the Rfam family "Bacterial small subunit ribosomal RNA", at positions 355 to 825 of the family's 1533-position model. The record is from RNAcentral.